RNAcentral lists this long non-coding RNA (1024 nucleotides) under Daucus carota (carrot). RNAcentral describes it as "long non-coding RNA (DCAR_LNC002135)". The record is from RNAcentral. Lineage: Eukaryota; Viridiplantae; Streptophyta; Magnoliopsida; Apiales; Apiaceae.
ACUUUUGUUGGUUAAAGUCACUUUCUGUGCCCCUCUGAGCAAGGAUAAAAGCACCCUCUUCCUCCCAUUUCUCCCUCUCAUCUUCAAAUCAUAGCUUCAAUUCUAAUACUGUUAAUAAAACCAGCCAUGGUCACUAGAAUUAAGACCUCUCACUUAAUCUUCCUUCUCUUUCUGUGCCUAUCUUCAGGUAAUAAAAGUCUAGGAACAGUCUCAGUGUUCAUUUCAAAGUAUGUCACUAGCUUAUCAAAGCGUACCAUUUAACAAGUGUUUACAUUUUUCUCUAGGCAUGAUCGAAGGAGUGAGCAAUGGCAUGAACCCCGCUAGUAUGCUCCACGAGGUAAACCUUAAACCACAUGCAGAAACUAGGAACUGACUCGACUAUAUGAUUUGAAUGUAUACGAGUGCACUACACGGCAUGAUACAGUAUAUUACGUUCAAGUAGAUAGAUAGGAACAAAAGAUUAAGCUUUUAUACUUCUUACGUUCGCCACUGGUUAUUAUGCAGAAAAAUACUAACUUAGCUCAUGUUUUGUGAAGGGCCGUGACAAAAUGAGUUCAAGGAAGCUUCUAAGUCAUGAUGUCGUGCUAGACUACGAAGAUCCAGGAGCAAAUCCUAAACAUGAUCCAAGGGGGAAGAAAGGAGGAGGCGGCAGGAACAAAUGAUUGCAAAUAACUCCUAGUUUCGAGCAUCAGGCUGUCAAAGCAAAUACUCCAGAGGAAUUUGNAGAUCACAGGAUAAUAAGCGGCAUAUUCUAAUAUCCCUACAGUAUCACAGCAUCCUUUCGUUUGAGGGUCUGAGGUGUUAAAUUAUACUAUGAUUGUAAAAUCCUUCUAUAAGGGUACAAUAAGACCAUAAAGGUUCUUUCACGUCUUAGGUACUUUCAACACUCUCAUCCGAUUUUCCUCACACAUCAAGGCUAAUAGUUUUGUUGUCUCUCUAUUUAAGAUCUUUUAUAUAAUAAAAUUUAUUCACUAAUGAAUUUAUCUAGACGACAAAUCUAAAUGAUAAACAGGUUACCCCANNN